AAUAUACAAGGUGCAACAUACAGAGAUAACAAUAAGUAAAAUCCCAAUGAGGUGAUCAAAAGAUACAGCAGCUACUCUUGUCAAAGCAAGGGUCCAAAAUUGGGUUAGUGCUGUCUGAAACACAGAAAGGAGAGCUAUUGAUUCCUCUUUAUUCAAGGAGUGGUUACAUAACCUCCAAAGUGAGACUGGGGUUAUUCUAGCUGAUGGUACAAUGGCUCUGAGACAAGUUCAAAUUCAGACAUUGACUGCUUGUGCGGAAUUCUACAGCAGAGAACUUGCAAGCAUCUAGUCACUCUUGUCAUGAUAUCAAGCAUUCCCUAUUAAAAUCACAAACUCCCCCAUUCUUUACAAACCAUUGUUAAGAUGGGACAAUGUUAUCAAGUGGAGGCACCAUAAUAAUUGAUACCUCAAACUUCUUCAUCCACUAAUACU
Gastrolobium bilobum is the source of this 432-nucleotide long non-coding RNA. RefSeq lists it as uncharacterized. The transcript is spliced from 3 exons. Lineage: Eukaryota; Viridiplantae; Streptophyta; Magnoliopsida; Fabales; Fabaceae. The record is from RefSeq and is a predicted model, not a curated record.